RNAcentral lists this ribosomal RNA (200 nucleotides) under uncultured bacterium. Its description in RNAcentral is "partial 16S ribosomal RNA". It matches the Rfam family "Bacterial small subunit ribosomal RNA", at positions 28 to 223 of the family's 1533-position model. The record is from RNAcentral.
GAUGAACGCUAGCGGCAGGCCUAACACAUGCAAGUCGAGGGGCAGCACGAUUGAGCUUGCUUAAUCGGUGGCGACCGGCGCACGGGUGCGUAACGCGUAUGCAACCUACCUUAUACUGGGGUAUAGCCCGAAGAAAUUCGGAUUAAUCCCCCAUAGCAUUAUCGAUUCGCAUGUUUUGAUAAUUAAAGGUUACGGUAUAA